Molecule: long non-coding RNA, 7228 nt
Filed under: Sus scrofa (pig)
Lineage: Eukaryota; Metazoa; Chordata; Mammalia; Artiodactyla; Suidae
Description: lncRNA (ENSSSCG00015008160.1)
Source: RNAcentral
UGUUUUCUUCUAUUGUAUCUGAUUUUGUCUCUUUCAGUUGUAGGCACUCUUCAACAUGUCAGAUCUUUGGCUAUCUCUAUUCACUUUAAGACUGAAGCACCGAAAACUACCAGGAAGCUCCAGAGCAUGUGGAUAUGGGUAUGUGGACAGAGCCAUCAACUGACUGGCUUUUCUUUAGGAUUUUCAACACUGAGCCAAAAUUUUUGGAGGGAUAGAUGCAAAUAUCAAUUCUCUGGUUAUCUGGGAUGGGGAAGAGAUCUGGUUCCCUACACACUAUAUGCAGACUUUCACACAGUGGCUCUUGCUUUCUGAUCAGAGUCUCAUGCCUUUUUCUCAGUGGAGUCUCCAAAUCCUAAAUCUCUCAAGAGUCUGUGGUUCUACUCAAUGCCAGAGUUUUCUAUGACAGACCCUUAAGUUAUAGUCUGCUCCUUCCUGCAAAGCUGGUGACCACUAUUUCAUCUGCUUUCCAUCCUCCAAAAGCUCAUUUAAAUGUCAUGUCUGUUGUUGCCCUCCUGUUCUCUAUGUUCUUGGGUCCAUUUUUACUCCUUUAUUGUCAUUUUGGCAAAAUUUUGGUAGAGCCACACCUGUGGCCAAUCAACACUUUAAGACUAAAACUCAUCACAUGAGAACUGAAAACACUGAUCCUCAAGAAAGAAAGCAAUUAGGGACUUGAUUUCUUUCUCUCAGAAAGCUUCUUGCCACCUACACAAAUGUGUCUACUUAACUUUCUCAGAGAAAUAAUUUCUCUAGGCCAAAAGCUCUGAGUGGGUAGACAUUAACAACUAAAAGACAUAUCCUGUUAUACUGACAAGUGGAGGGGCUUAGGAGGGGAGAGAGGGAGAAAAUGAAAUGUGGCAAGCAUUGAAAGAAAGGGAGCCGAGGAGGCAAUGAGAGAUUGCAUAGCCUAGAGGAGAUGAGAGGAACAAAGAAUUCCAUGCCACUUUAUGCAGCAAAGCUCUGCUACUUUCCAUUCUUAAUAACACAUCUUAACUUACAUUUAUAUUAUUUUACACCUGGACUGUUACAAGUGUCUCCCAACAGAUAGUCCUCCUGUUCCUCUUGGCUCCCAUAAAUCCAUCACCAUAUGGUUACGUCACACUCUUGUUUAAAAUCCUUUACUGGCUCUCAUUGACCUCAGCAUGAGGGCCUAGUCACGUCUGACACACAAAGUCUUCUGUUACCUGGCCUCUGUUUGCCUCUCCAGCCUCAUCUUUCUCUACUUCCUGCCAUGUAGUUUUUCCCUUCAAUCUUCUUGUGUUCUCCCUUCAACCUGCAAUUCCCCUUGCUUGCUUAGUGCCUGGUCAUUCUCUAAGAUGCUCAGACAUUGCUCACUGACCUCAGAAAGUCCCACCACCACCUCUUCCUCUGUGUUAGGUGUUCCUCACUGGGCUUUCAUAAAAACCUAUGCUUCUACAUCCACAUUUGUUUGUGUAUGUGUGUGAGUGCAUAGGUGUGCACAUGUGUUUAAAUAGUUAUCUGUUUACUAUGUGCUCCCUAGUCUAACAUUCUCAAGGGAAAAAAAACCCAAAAACCUGCAUCUUUGAUCUCUGAAACUCUAUCACAUAAUACCUUGCACAUAAUAGGCACAGUACUGAAUGAAUUAAUGAAUGAUUGAGCAAAUGAAUGAAUUAAUUUCAGAAGGAGUCAUCUGGAUGGGGUAACUUAAAAAGCUUUCAGAGUUCCCACUGUGGUUUAGUGGUAAUGAACCUGACUAGUAUCCAUGAGGACAUGAGUUCAAUCCCUAGCCCCCCUCAGUGGAUUGAAGAUUUGGCAUUGCCAUGAGCUGCAGUGUAGGUCACAGACACAGCUCAGAUCUGGUAUUGGAAUAGCUGUGGCACAGGUAGCUGCAGCUCCAAUUCAACCCCUAACCUGGGAACCUCCAUAUGCCACAGUGCAGCCCUAAAAAGACCAAAAAAAAAGUUUCAAUCAGGGGGCUGUUCUAGAGUCAAUUCUGAAGGACCUCACUGAAUAAAUAAAAAAAUAUGUUGUCAUACCUCCCUCCAAAAUAAAUUUCUGAUGGAUCAAAGACUUAAUUUUGAAAGAGAGAAAGAGCCAUGACAAUACCAGAAGAAAGCCUGUGAGAAUGUUAUAUUUUAGAGUGGAGAAUGUUUUUCUAAUGAGAAAAUUUAAAGAACUGCGGUUUCAAAUACAUAUUUCUUUAACUACAUGAAAAAAACAUCCCAUGAACCAAGUCAAAUGACUAGCUGCAAAGACUAUUUAUAACAUGUAUAAGAAAGGGCUAAUUUCCUUAUUAAAUAUAAAGGGUCACUAUAAUGAGAAGACUUAUAAUCCAAUAGAGAAAUGAGCAAAGGCCAAGAACAGAGAGCCCACAUAUAAGGAAAUACAAAGGAAAUUUAGAUGAUUUUAAAGGUGCCCAAUUUUAUUUACAGUAAGAAAAAUAGACUAAAUAUUUGGGGAUUCCAUCCUCACUUGGAUCAGCAAAGAUUAAUCUGGUUUGCAAGGAUGGGAUGAAACAGGCAUUCUUACACAUUGUUGGUAGGGGAUGUAAAUUGAUACAAAUUUUGAAAAGGACACUUUGCCAGUAUGUAUUAAAAGUGAAAACGCACAUGCUUUUGAUCUGGCAUUUGUACUUCUAGGUGUACCUUACAUCUAGGAGUAUAAAUUUAGAUGUACUGGGCUAUCUAUUGCAUUAAUUAACAAAUAUUAAGUGCAUGUUAUGUGUAAAACUUUGUCUAAGGGUUAGAGGUUAUAAUGGUGAGCAAAACAGAGAAAGAUCAAGAUGGCAGGAGAGUAAGACAUCGCACUCACCUUCUCCCACAAACACAUAAAAAAAAAACCAUAUUUACAUGUAAAAUCAUAAACACAGAACAUCUACUGAAUGCUGGUAGAACUUAAACCUCCAAAAAGGGCAAGAAACCCUCCACAUAACCGGGUAGAACAAAAGAAAAAGAGAGAGAGAAGAAUCAGGACGGGACUAGCACUCUGAGAGGGAGCUGUUAAAGAGGAAAAGAACCCACAACCUGGGAAGCCACCUUAUUGACAGGGAGAUCAGCUGAGAUGGAAGGACUUCAAAGUCACUGAGAAAAGCACAGCAGCUGGACUGAGGAGGACAAAGCAGAGUGAGAGCUGCACAGAUCAUCUGCACCACUGCCCCGGAUAUUACAGCCUGAGACGCUCGGGGGUGGGGGCUGGAUGUGGAGACUCAGGCUCUGGAGGUCAGUUCCAGGGAAAGGACUAUGGUUGGCUGUGUGGAGACAGCCUGAGGGUCUAGGGAGUGGUGUGCCAUGGGUUAGCAAAUGGAACACCACAGCCAAGGGAACCUGGGAGAUGGGCUGGGCCUGUAGGAGAAGCAAGCUGCCAUUGUUGGGGAGGGUGAGAGGAGGAGGGGAGGACCGCCAUAGGAAUCUCUUUCCCUGUGCAUGUGCGGGCUCUCAGAGGGCAGGGUGCCUCUGGUGAGGCUAAGGGUGGCAAAAGGGCACUUGCUUGGGCUGCAGGAGACCUGGCACCUCUUCUUUGGGGUAUGGGUGGCUGGGUACCUCUUAUGUGGGCUAAGGGCAGUUGGGGAGUAAGUGUGACAUGGUGCCUUUUGUGUGAUCUACAGGUGGUGGGAAUAAACCAUAGCAGUCAUCUCAGAAACUGGAGGGGGGCAUGGCCUGCCACCACUAGGGGUCUGUGAACAGGCUCCACCUGCCACCCUAGUCACUUUAGAGGAUGGCAAAAAGGGCACUGCAACAGAGCACCACCCAAUGUUGCUCUCACUCCCCUGGGAACAUACCUGCCCUGCUGCUGCCACCACCAAAAGUUCCAGGCAGUGCCCACACAUGCCUGAUCACUGUAACUUCCCAGGACCCUGCAACUAGGAGCAGGCUAUGCAGCACCUCCUGCAUGGGCUAAGUGGGACAGAGUGAUUCUUCCAUGGUUUCCAUGGUGGUGAGGGCAAACCGCUACAGCUUUCUCUGAGUCCAGAGGUGGGCAUGACCUGCCACCACUAGGGGUCCGUGAACAGGUACCACUUGUGGCCCCGGUUACCUCAGAGGGCAACAGAGAUGAGGACAUUGCAACCAGACACCACCCAUUAUUGCUCUCCCUCCCCUGGGAACUCACACACCCUUCUGCUACCACUGCCAAAUGCUCUGGGCAUCACCUAAAUCUGCCUGAGUCUCAUUACCACUUCCCAGGGCCCUGCAACUAGGAGUAGUCUGCACCACCCUACCCAUUGCCUCCUUCUUCUUGGAAACACACUCAGCACCCUGGGGCCGACAGCCUGCUCACACAAAAGAAAGAGACAGCAAAUAUCCAAACUCCCAUGCCAAAAAUUAAUAAUAACCCCCUGCAGAAUACAAAGGGCUGCUCUUGCAUAGAAAUAGCCCUCCAAGACUACAGUAGUUGCUUUCAGUAAACUCACAGAAUAAGAAAAAUAUAAGCAAAUGAAGAAGCUCAGGAACCAUUCUCAGUUAAAAGAACAGGAGUAUUCACCUGAAGCAGCAAAUAAUGACACAGACCUCUGCAGUCUAACAGACACUGAAUUCAAAAAGGAGAUAAUGAAAAUACUGAAGGAAUUAAGGGUGCAUAUGAAGGAAUUAGGAGCAGAUGUAAACAGUAAUGCAGAUUACUUUAGACAGGAACUAGAAAAUAUAAGGAGGAGCCAAGAAAAAUUGGAAAAUUCAUUUGCAGAGAUGCAAACUGAGCUAAAGGCACCAAAGAGCAGAAUGAAUAAUGCAGAGGAAAGAACAAGUGACUUGGAAGAUAGAAUAAUGGAAAUCACCCAAUCAGGAAAGCAGACAGAAAACCAAAUGAAAAAACAUGAAAGGAAUAUAAGAGGUCUAUGGGAUAAUAUAAAGUGGUAAUAAGGAUUCCAGAAGGAGUAGAAAAACAAAAGGGGAUUGAAAAUACAUUUGAGGGGAGUUCCUGUCAUGGCUCAGUGUUUAACAAAUCCAACUAGGAACCAUGAGGUUUGGGGUUCGAUCCCUGUCCUCGCUCAGUGGGUUAAGGAUCUGGCGUUGCCUUGAGCUGUGGCGUAGGUUGCAGAUGCGGCUCAGAUCCUGUGUUGCUGUGGCUCUGGCGAAAGCCGGUGGCCUUCUGAUUAGACCCCUAGCCCGGGAACCUGCAUAUGCCACGGAAGCGGCCCUGGAAAAGGCAAAAAAAAACCAAAACCAAAAACAAAAUAUAUUUGAGGAAAUUAUGGCUGAAAACUUUCCAAAUCUAAGGAAACAGAUAUCAAGAUACAGGAAGCACAGAGGGCCCCAAACAAGUUGAACCCAAAUAGGCCCACACCGAGACAUAUUAUAAUACAAAUGGCAAAAGUUAAAGAUAAAGAGAGGAUUGUAAAGGCAGCAAGAGAAAAAGCGUUAAUUAUAAGGGAACCCCCAUAAGGCUAUCAGCUGAUUUCUCUACAUUAACACUAUAGGGUAGAAGCGGCAAGAUAUAUUCAAAGUUCUAAAAGGGAAAAAUUUGCAGCCUAGAAUAGUCUCCCAGCAAGAAUAUCAUUUAAAAUAGAAGGAGAAAUAAAGAGUUUAUCCAACAAACAAAAACUAAAAGAGUACAGCAAUACUAAACCCAUUCUAAAAGAAAUACUGAAAGGGCUUUUCUAAAUAAAAAAAAAGAAUAGGAUGGAGGAAAUGACAAUUGGAAAGCAAUCAUUUAAAUAAGCCAGGAUACAGAUCUAAAAGGAAAAAAAAAAAACCUAUUGUAAAAGUGACAAUAAACACAAGGAACAGUAAAAGGACAUACAUGAAGAUGUCAAAAAAGGACUUCAAAAUCAUAAAAUGUAGAGAAGGAAAAGUAAGAAAAUCUAGACUCUUUUAGAAUGUGUUUGAGCCUAUAUGACGAUCAGGCUAAAGCAAGCAGAUAUAGGAAGGGGUUAACAUACUUGAAAAACAGGGCAACUACAAAUCAAACCAAACAUUACAUUCACAAAAACUAAAAACAAAAGGGCACAAGCAUAAAACAAAAGGAAAUCAUCCAACCAAAAAAAAAGAAAGGAACAAAGGAGAAACAUAGAAUCACUGGAAAAAUAGGUUUAAAAUGGCAACAAAGACAUAUUUAUGAGUAAUUACCUUAAAUGUCAAUGGACUGAAUGCUCCAAUCAAAAGACAUAGAGUGGCAGAUUGGAUUAAAAAAGCAAGAGCCUACAAUAUGCUGUUUACAAAAGACUCACCUUAGGGCAAAGAUACAUAUAAAUUGAAAGUGAGAGGAUCGGAAAAGAUACGUCAUGGCAAUGGAAAAGACAGGAAAGCAGGAGUUGCAAUACUCAUAUCAGACAAAAUAGACUUUAAAACAAAGGCCAUAAAAAAUACAAAGAAGAACACUAUUUAAUUAUAAAAGGAUCCAGUCAAGAAAGGGGGUAUUACAAUUGUCAAUAUAUAUGCCCUCAUAUGGGAGCACCCAGAUACAUACAGCAAAUACCAGCAGACAUAAAAGAAGAAAUUAAUGUGAAUACAAUAAUAGUAGGAGACUCUAACACUUCACUCACAUUUACUGACAGAUCCUCUAGACAGAAAAUCAAUAAGGCAACAGAGAUCCUAAAGGACACAAUAGAAAAGUUAGACUUAGUUGACAUUUUCAGGACGUUAUAUCUAAAAAAAUCAGAAUAUACUUUCUUUUCAAGUGCAUAUGGAAUAUUCUCGAGAAUUGACCACAUACUGGGGCAUAAACUAAUCUUUUUUUUUUUUGUCUUGUCUUGUCUUUUCUAGGGCCGCACCUGCAUCAUAUGGAGGUUCCCAGGCUAGGGGUCUAAUCAGAGCUGUAGCCUCCAGCCUAUGCCAGAGCCACAGCAAUGCCAGAUCCAAGCCAGGUCUGUGACCUACACCACAGCUCACAGCAAUGCCAGAUCCUUACCCCACUGAGCAAGACCAGGGACCGAACCCCAAACCUCAUGGUUUAGUCGGAUUCGUUAACCACUGAGCCAUGACGGCAACUCCCACAAAAGUAAUCUUAACAAAUUUAAAAGUAUAGAUAUUAUUUCAAGUAACCACAAUGGCAUGAAAGUAGAAAUCAACUACGGGAAAAGAAAUGAGAAAAAACUGACUACAUGGAGACCAAACAACAUGCUACUAAAAAACCAAUGAAUCAAUGAGGAAGUCAAAAAGGAAAUUAAAAAAUACCUUGAGACAAAUGAUAAUGAAAACACAACCAUUCAAAAUCUAUGGGAUGCCACAAAAAGCAGUGCCUAGAGGGAAAGUUCAUUUCAAGACAGGCCUUCCUCAAAAAAGAAUAAAAAUCUCAAAUCAACAACUUAACACACCACCUAGAAUUAGAAAAAGAAGAA